UUUUCGCAAUGCCCGAAAGGGUGACGAAGCGACGCCGCGUGGGGGAAGAAGGCCUUCGGGUUGUAAACCCCUGUCAGGAGCCAGGAAAUGCAGGGUGUCAAUAGCGCCCUGUUUGACUACAGCUCCAGAGGAAGCCAUGGCUAACUCUGUGCCAGCAGCCGCGGUAAUACAGAGAUGGCAAGCGUUGUUCGGAAUCAUUGGGCGUAAAGCGCACGUAGGCGGCCUUGCAAGUCGGUUGUGAAAUCCCCUGGCUCACCCAGGGAACUGCAUUCGAUACUGCGAGGCUUGAGGACAGGAGGGGAGAGUGGAACUUCUGGUGGAGCGGUGAAAUGCGUAGAUAUCAGAAGGAACACCGGUGGCGAAAGCGACUCUCUGGUCUGUUUCUGACGCUGAGGUGCGAAAGCUAGGGGAGCAAACGGGAUUAGAUACCCCGGUAGUCCUAGCCGUAAACGAUGGGCACUAAGUAGAGGGGUU
Molecule: ribosomal RNA, 474 nt
Filed under: uncultured anaerobic ammonium-oxidizing bacterium
Lineage: Bacteria
Description: bacterial SSU rRNA
Rfam family: Bacterial small subunit ribosomal RNA
Source: RNAcentral